GAUCAUGGCUCAGGAUGAACGCUGGCGGCGUGCUUAACACAUGCAAGUCGAACGGAGCUUAUUAAGAAAGCGGAGCUUGCUCCAAUGGAUUUUAAGCUUAGUGGCGGACGGGUGAGUAACGCGUGGGUAACCUGCCUUGCACAGGGGGACAACAGUUGGAAACGACUGCUAAUACCGCAUAAGCCGGUAGAACCGCAUGGUUUAUCCGGAAAAAGAUUUAUCGGUGCAAGAUGGGCCCGCGUUGGAUUAGUUAGUUGGCGGGGUAACGGCCCACCAAGACCGCGAUCCAUAGCCGACCUGAGAGGGUGAUCGGCCACAUUGGGACUGAGACACGGCCCAAACUCCUACGGGAGGCAGCAGUGGGGAAUAUUGCGCAAUGGGGGAAACCCUGACGCAGCCAACGCCGCGUGAGUGAGGAAGUAUUUCGGUAUGUAAAGCUCUAUCAGCAGGGAAGAAGAUGACGGUACCUGCAGAAGAAGUCCCGGCUAACUACGUGCCAGCAGCCGC
This 507-nucleotide ribosomal RNA is filed under the name uncultured bacterium. Its description in RNAcentral is "bacterial SSU rRNA". It matches the Rfam family "Bacterial small subunit ribosomal RNA", at positions 15 to 518 of the family's 1533-position model. The record is from RNAcentral.